CAACACCGGUUCUCGUACGGUCAUUGAAGUUAAGCAGCAUUGAGCUUGGUCAGUACAUAGAUGGGUGACUGCUUGGGAAUACCAGGUGCUGUAAG
Molecule: non-coding RNA, 95 nt
Organism: Acanthosepion pharaonis
Lineage: Eukaryota; Metazoa; Mollusca; Cephalopoda; Sepiida; Sepiidae
Source: the annotation of a GenBank genome assembly